This 465-nucleotide ribosomal RNA is filed under the name uncultured bacterium. RNAcentral describes it as "partial 16S ribosomal RNA". It matches the Rfam family "Bacterial small subunit ribosomal RNA", at positions 28 to 504 of the family's 1533-position model. The record is from RNAcentral.
GACGAACGCUGGCGGCGUGCUUAACACAUGCAAGUCGAACGGAAAGACCCUGCUUUUGUGGGGUGCUCGAGUGGCGAACGGGUGAGUAACACGUGAGUAACCUGCCCUUGACUUUGGGAUAACUUCAGGAAACUGGGGCUAAUACCGGAUAGGAGCUCCUGCUGCAUGGUGGGGGUUGGAAAGUUUCGGCGGUUGGGGAUGGACUCGCGGCUUAUCAGCUUGUUGGUGGGGUAGUGGCUUACCAAGGCUUUGACGGGAAGCCGGCCUGAGAGGGUGACCGGCCACAUUGGGACUGAGAUACGGCCCAGACUCCUACGGGAGGCAGCAGUGGGGAAUAUUGCACAAUGGGCGGAAGCCUGAUGCAGCAACGCCGCGUGCGGGAUGACGGCCUUCGGGUUGUAAACCGCUUUCGCCUGUGACGAAGCGUGAGUGACGGUAAUGGGUAAAGAAGCACCGGCUAACUAC